Molecule: long non-coding RNA, 657 nt
Filed under: Homo sapiens (human)
Lineage: Eukaryota; Metazoa; Chordata; Mammalia; Primates; Hominidae
Description: HSALNT0365804
Source: RNAcentral
CUUCCACAUUGGGAAAGUUUUGUUCUUUCCUUCUUUGCAAUAAAUCUUGCUACUGCUUGCUUUUUGGGUUCAUAUUGCCUUUAUAAGUUGUGACACUCAUCGUGAAGGUCUGUAGCUUCGCUCCUGAAGCUAGGGAGACCAUGAACCCACCAGAGGGAAGAAACUCUGAACACAUCCAAACAUCAGAAGGAACAAACUCCGAAUGCGCCAUUUCUAAGAACUGUAACACUCCCCCCAAGGGUCUGUGGCUUCAUUCUUGAAGUUGGUGAGACCAAGAACCCACCAAUUCCGGACACACCGGCACUUUAGGAGGCCGAGGCAGGCAGAUACCUGAUGAGGCCCAGGAACCUCAAGAUAUUUUGGGGACCUUGAUGAUUGGACUCCGGUGAAGACUCCAAGAUGGCGAUCGCCACCUCACAUACCCUGACUCAGCAUUUCCGGGUUCACCUUUCCUGUUCCCGCCACCCCGACUAACGCGCAUGCCCACUAGGGCGUGUCACACUCAGAAGCGCGAAACUCAACCGACCCCACCCCUACCCCGCCCACUCCUCACCCAGCAUCCAUAAAAGCGCGCUGCACCUUUGGCACAGCGCGACUUCCCUGGCCCUCCCCCUGCGGGCCAGUGAACCUCGCCCAAGAGCUCAAUAAAGAUUUUUG